GAGGAUCAUAUUAAAGGUUACGGUACAAGAUGAGUAUGCGUUCUAUUAGCUAGAUGGUAAGGUAACGGCUUACCAUGGCUACGAUAGAUAGGGGCCCUGAGAGGGGGAUCCCCCACACUGGUACUGAGACACGGACCAGACUCCUACGGGAGGCAGCAGUGAGGAAUAUUGGACAAUGGGCGAGAGCCUGAUCCAGCCAUGCCGCGUGCAGGAUGACGGCCCUAUGGGUUGUAAACUGCUUUUAUACAGGAAGAAACACCCCGACGUGUCGGGACUUGACGGUACUGUAAGAAUAAGGAUCGGCUAACUCCGUGCCAGCAGCCGCGGUAAUACGGAGGAUCCAAGCGUUAUCCGGAAUCAUUGGGUUUAAAGGGUCCGUAGGUGGACAAUUAAGUCAGAGGUGAAAUCCUGCAGCUCAACUGUAGAAUUGCCUUUGAUACUGGUUGUCUUGAGUUAUUAUGAAGUAGUUAGAAUAUGUAGUGUAGCGGUGAAAUGCAUAGAUAUUACAUAGAAUACCAAUUGCGAAGGCAGAUUACUAAUAAUGAACUGACACUGAUGGACGAAAGCGUGGGGAGCGAACAGGAUUAGAUACCCUGGUAGUCCACGCCGUAAACGAUGGUUACUAGUUGUUCGGAUUUCGGUCUGAGUGACUAAGCGAAAGUGAUAAGUAACCCACCUGGGGAGUACGUUCGCAAGAAUGAAACUCAAAGGAAUUGACGGGGGCCCGCACAAGCGGUGGAGCAUGUGGUUUAAUUCGAUGAUACGCGAGGAACCUUACCAGGCUUAAAUGUAGAUUGACAGGUUUAGAGAUAGACUUUUCUUCGGACAUUUACAAGGUGCUGCAUGGUUGUCGUCAGCCUCGUGCCUGUGAGUGUCAGUU
This 880-nucleotide ribosomal RNA is filed under the name Bizionia paragorgiae. Its description in RNAcentral is "bacterial SSU rRNA". It matches the Rfam family "Bacterial small subunit ribosomal RNA", at positions 196 to 1080 of the family's 1533-position model. Lineage: Bacteria; Pseudomonadati; Bacteroidota; Flavobacteriia; Flavobacteriales; Flavobacteriaceae. The record is from RNAcentral.